RNAcentral lists this ribosomal RNA (301 nucleotides) under uncultured bacterium. RNAcentral describes it as "partial 16S ribosomal RNA". It matches the Rfam family "Bacterial small subunit ribosomal RNA", at positions 509 to 809 of the family's 1533-position model. The record is from RNAcentral.
CAGUAGCCGCGGUAAUACGUAGGUGGCAAGCGUUGUCCGGAAUUAUUGGGCGUAAAGCGCGCGCAGGCGGCCUAUCCAGUCUGUCUUUAAAGUUCGGGGCUCAACCCCGUGAUGGGAUGGAAACUAGUAGGCUAGAGUAUCGGAGAGGAAAGCGGAAUUCCUAGUGUAGCGGUGAAAUGCGUAGAUAUUAGGAAGAACACCAGUGGCGAAGGCGGCUUUCUGGACGAAAACUGACGCUGAGGCGCGAAAGCCAGGGGAGCGAACGGGAUUAGAGACCCCAGUAGUCCCUGUCUCUUAUACA